This 316-nucleotide long non-coding RNA is filed under the name Ananas comosus (pineapple). RNAcentral describes it as "long non-coding RNA (ACOM_LNC007353)". The record is from RNAcentral. Lineage: Eukaryota; Viridiplantae; Streptophyta; Magnoliopsida; Poales; Bromeliaceae.
CACCUCGGUCGCUAAUCCCUGGCAGCACGGAUUUCCCUCGGCUGCGGAACAACCUGCUGGAUCGACUGAAAAUGUCCGAGUCCCGAAAUCGAGCUAACUCCAACUAUAAACAUCGAAAAUCCUCAAUUCAGUCCAAAAUCCACAACAGCAGAGUAAAACAGAGCUUCGACCAAGCUAACCUUCACCAAAUCCCGCAAGUAAGGGCUUCGUGGAUUCCUCUCGAAGUCCUGAAUCCAGCGAACCAAGUCUCGUCAAAAUUCGAUGCUCCAGCGUCGAGUACGAGCUGAAAUACUAACAGUCGACGAUGAAUUUCAGC